UGUUUUUUCUCCUAUAUCCCUGCAGAUUGUUCAGGGACAUUUCAUUGACACUAAAUGGAGAAGUCCAUUACGUUCGAUUGUAUUAGUCUCUGUGUACAAUGUUUUCCUGGUUCUGCUCCUUUCGCUCUGCAUCACUUCCUGGAGGUUGUUCCAGUCUCCAUGGAAUUCCUCACUUUAUUAUUCCUUUGAGCACAAUAGUAUUCCAUCACCAACAUAUACCACAAUUGUUCAGCCAUUCCCCAAUUGAUGGGCAUCCCCUCAUUUUCCAAUUUUUGGCCACCACAAAGAGCACAGCUAUGAAUAUUCUUGUACAAGUCUUUUUGUCCAUUAUCUCUUUGGGGUACAAGCCCAGCAGUGCUAUGGCUGGAUCAAAGGGCAGACAGUCUUUUAUCAC
RNAcentral lists this long non-coding RNA (394 nucleotides) under Monodelphis domestica (gray short-tailed opossum). RNAcentral describes it as "lncRNA (ENSMODG00000050751.1)". Lineage: Eukaryota; Metazoa; Chordata; Mammalia; Didelphimorphia; Didelphidae. The record is from RNAcentral.